UGUUUCGCGAGGCCAUUGUUGAAGGACGUAUAUCUCAAAAUCCAGUCACGCCAACAAGAGCACCGAAAAUAGUAGUUACAAGAGAACGACUGAAACUAAAGACAUACAACUGCAUCAGGGAGGCAGCAGAUCAACUUCCGGCAUGGUUCCCAUUAGCUAUGGAUUUAGCCCUUGUAACAGGACAACGUCGCGAAGACAUAACGAAUAUGCGGUUCAGUGAUAUUUAUGAUGAUCGUCUCCACAUCAGGCAAAUUAAGACAGGAAUGAUGAUUGCUAUCCCCCUGUCACUCAGCCUUCCUGUCGCUGGUUUACGACUUGGUGCAGUAGUUGAACAGUGCCGCAUGGUAAGUAGGGGGGAUUAGUCUAUC
This 368-nucleotide ribosomal RNA is filed under the name Shigella flexneri 1485-80. RNAcentral describes it as "partial 16S ribosomal RNA". Lineage: Bacteria; Pseudomonadati; Pseudomonadota; Gammaproteobacteria; Enterobacterales; Enterobacteriaceae. The record is from RNAcentral.